AAACAAGGGUGCCCUAAGACAAGACAAUGAAGACAGCCUCACCAAAUCCUGAGGAGUCUCCUCCUCCCGACAGGAUGAACCUGGAAGGGCUGUACCGGGAGAAAAAUGGUAACAUCAGUCCCUGUCAGGCAACAGGGGUGGGGGAUGGGUGGGUGCCUAUGGUAGGAGUGAAAAGGAAGGGGUCUUAGGGUAGAAACAACUCAGCUGACAGGCAUAGGACUGUGUGGAAGAGAAAGACAAGAACCAGGUUUCUGUUUGUGCAGGGAGGUGUCAUUCCAGGGUUUCUCCUGGUAGCUGAGGGGGAGGUGACACUCUUUUCUGUUGGCCCCAUUUCUGCACUAAUGAGAAUGCCUCGGAGAGGGAAGGUCCCCCUGAUGCCUCUGAUGAGGGAAACAAAGGCAAGAGAAAUGUAGCUUAACUUAAAUCUGCUUUCAGCUUGCAGCUCACUGACACCUGAAGCAUGCACAGCGUGACCUUCCUCCAAGAAACCAUGGCUGCCUCCAUGUCUUAAUGUUUAUAUUUUAUUAAAGAAUAGAAGUGACCUUAUCUUAACAGCAGCUAGCCCCCACCCCGCCAAGGUCCUGAAAGCCUUGCUUCAAAAUUCCUUAGAAACUUACUUAAUCUUUAUCCCCACUCCUUCCACAAACUUAAAAGUAUAUAAUCAGUCACUCCUCACAACCGCAGUGCAGCUCUUUCUGCCCACAGGUCCUGUCCCUGUGUUUUAAUAAAACCACCUUUUUGGGGGUGCCCGGGUGGCUCAGUCGGUUAAGCAUCUGACUCUUGAUUUCGGCUCAGGGCAUGAUCUCAUGGUUUGUGAGUUAAAGCCCCACACUGGGCUCUGCACUGACAGCAUGGAGCCUGCUUGGGAUUCUCUCUCUCUCUCUUCCUCUGCCCCUCUCCUGCUCACAUACUCUCUCUCUCUUAAAUUAAAUGAAUAAACUUUAACAAACAUCAUUUUUUCUGCACCAAAACAUCUCAAGAGUUCAUUCUUAGCCUUAGCUAAGCCCCAUUUCAUAAUUUCAUCACCCCUAUCCAGGAAAAGCUGGCCUGGGUGUGAAGGAGCCUUGACUGGGGAGCUGUGAGUCUCUUCCGGAAAGGCAGGGAGCAGGUUGUCUGGGUGCCAUUUAC
RNAcentral lists this long non-coding RNA (1128 nucleotides) under Lynx pardinus (Iberian lynx). The record is from RNAcentral. Lineage: Eukaryota; Metazoa; Chordata; Mammalia; Carnivora; Felidae.